This 600-nucleotide ribosomal RNA is filed under the name uncultured bacterium. RNAcentral's name for it is "bacterial SSU rRNA". It matches the Rfam family "Bacterial small subunit ribosomal RNA", at positions 900 to 1500 of the family's 1533-position model. The record is from RNAcentral.
CUUAAAGGAAUUGACGGGGGCCCGCACAAGCGGUGGAGCAUGUGGUUUAAUUCGAUGCAACGCGAAGAACCUUACCUACUCUUGACAUCCAGAGAACUUAGCAGAGAUGCUUUGGUGCCUUCGGGAACUCUGAGACAGGUGCUGCAUGGCUGUCGUCAGCUCGUGUUGUGAAAUGUUGGGUUAAGUCCCGCAACGAGCGCAACCCUUAUCCUUUGUUGCCAGCGAUUCGGUCGGGAACUCAAAGGAGACUGCCAGUGAUAAACUGGAGGAAGGUGGGGAUGACGUCAAGUCAUCAUGGCCCUUACGAGUAGGGCUACACACGUGCUACAAUGGCAUAUACAAAGAGAAGCGACCUCGCGAGAGCAAGCGGACCUCAUAAAGUAUGUCGUAGUCCGGAUUGGAGUCUGCAACUCGACUCCAUGAAGUCGGAAUCGCUAGUAAUCGUAGAUCAGAAUGCUACGGUGAAUACGUUCCCGGGCCUUGUACACACCGCCCGUCACACCAUGGGAGUGGGUUGCAAAAGAAGUAGGUAGCUUAACCUUCGGGAGGGCGCUUACCACUUUGUGAUCCAUGACUGGGGUGAAGUCGUAACAAGGUAAC